This 932-nucleotide long non-coding RNA is filed under the name Olea europaea subsp. europaea. Lineage: Eukaryota; Viridiplantae; Streptophyta; Magnoliopsida; Lamiales; Oleaceae. The record is from RNAcentral.
UUUUCAUAAAUUUCUGAGUCUGAUUGUUAAGUUCAUUUUUCAUAAAGAGGGGUAUUUUGUUUUAGGCAAAGGUAUUUUUCAUAAAUUUCUGGGCAAAGGUAUUUUGUUCAUUUUUCAAUAAAAGGGUAUUUUUCGUAUAGAGUAUGCUUAAGUGUGCCUACUUUUGUUAAGCUACCAGAAGAAUUAUGCUUAAGUGUGCCUACUUUCGUAUGCUAAGCAUGAAGGCAAUUCUAGUUUCGUUGAGGUUGAAUGCAGCCAUAUCCUCUGUGUGUUCGUAAAUGGCAUAAGAAUAGAAGCCGGAAGAACCACGAAGCAUUAUGAACAUGAAGCAUGUAUCAUAAUAUAAGCACCAAUUCUUCAUUAUCAAACACAACAAUGAAUAUCAAGAUUAUAAACAGCAGCAGUACUGCAAUGAUGCACCUUUUGUCUAUGGGGAAGGGAGCGUGUUAGCCCUCAAAUGAGGGAUCCUAUGUCCUUUUGAAUGAGACUUCUAUUUGUUCCUCAUUUUCCACUAUAACUUUGUUUGUAAUGUGCUGUUAUUUUUAAGUUUGAAUGUGGGAUUUCAAAACUCAAUUGCAUUCAUGUGAGAUUAUUUGUUUCGUCAGCAGUUGUUGAGUAGAAUGAGAGGAAUGAAUUUCGGAGUUUGUCAUGACUAUAAAAGUAACACUCACUACUUCGAAAAAUGCCAAACAAAACGUGGAUGCCCUUCAUAUAAAAGCGGAUUUCGAAAAUGUUUUGAGGUAGAACGGGAUACUAGAAACAAAGGGCGCUUGUUCUUUACGUGUAAUAACGACUGUGGAUAUUUCGAUUGGGUGAAAAAUGAAGAUAUAAGCAGGGAGUCGAGUACCAUUAAUGAAGAGGUGAAGCAUGAGCCCAAUGAGGUAUACAAAGACUUGCCAAGAGUCUUAGAUAGCUGUAAUACCCCGAACUUC